Molecule: transfer-messenger RNA, 352 nt
Filed under: Nitrospirales
Lineage: Bacteria; Pseudomonadati; Nitrospirota; Nitrospiria
Also listed under: 1 other name
Description: J017 sp003695915 Standard tmRNA
Rfam family: transfer-messenger RNA
About the family: Bacterial tmRNA, also known as 10Sa RNA or SsrA, is named for its dual tRNA and mRNA-like properties. Its role is to liberate the mRNA from a stalled ribosome.
Source: RNAcentral
GGGGGUGACUGGCUUCGACGGGGGCCAUGAGGUCAACGGAGCGUGCCGAGCUCUCGGAGUCUCGUUAAACCUUCGAGAAACUAUUAAGUGCCAACGAACCAUUGGCGCUCGCGGCCUAACUAACCGCGACGUCUCUCCGUUCCUCGCCUGUGGGAAUGGAAGAGACGACACGCAGCAGGCUGGUCCGAAGCCGGUGCCCAGCGGCUGAGGACGAGACCACACUGGGCUAGCCGACGCUCUAAGCCUGUCGGUGGGCGUGGGCGGAGGCGAAUCUCAAAACACCGACUACGCACGUAGGCGCCGUUGCGCUGAAGGUCCUCGGACGCGGGUUCGAUUCCCGCCACCUCCACCA